CAAGGAAUUUUCCCCAAUGGGCGCAGGCCUGAGGGAGCAACGCCGCGUGCAGGACGACGGCCUUCGGGUUGUAAACUGCUUUUGCGUGGGACGAUAACGACGGUACCACGCGAAUCAGCCCCGGCUAACUCUGUGCCAGCAGCCGCGGUAAUACAGAGGGGGCAAGCGUUGUCCGGACUUACUGGGCGUAAAGCGCACGCAGGUGGUAGCGCAAGUGGGGUGUGAAAGCCGCCAGCUCAACUGGCGGAGGCCAUCCCAAACUGCGUCACUUGAGGCCUGUAGAGGUAUGUGGAAUUUAUGGUGUAGCGGUGAAAUGCAUAGAUACCAUAAAGAACACCGAUAGCGAAGGCAGCUUACUGGACGGCGAAUGACGCUGAUGCACGAAAGCGUGGGUAGCGAACGGGAUUAGAUACCCCUGUAGUCC
This 424-nucleotide ribosomal RNA is filed under the name uncultured prokaryote. Its description in RNAcentral is "bacterial SSU rRNA". It matches the Rfam family "Bacterial small subunit ribosomal RNA", at positions 355 to 796 of the family's 1533-position model. The record is from RNAcentral.